GCCUAGUUAGCUUAGUUGGUAGUGCGUCUGCCUUGUAAGCGCUAGGCCGUGGGUUCGAUUCCCACCCGAGGCG
Molecule: transfer RNA, 73 nt
Filed under: Diaphorina citri (Asian citrus psyllid)
Lineage: Eukaryota; Metazoa; Arthropoda; Insecta; Hemiptera; Psyllidae
Rfam family: tRNA
About the family: Transfer RNA (tRNA) molecules are approximately 80 nucleotides in length. Their secondary structure includes four short double-helical elements and three loops (D, anti-codon, and T loops).
Source: Rfam by way of RNAcentral